GGAAGCAGAGGAUGUUGCGCGUGCGGAAGCCGGUGCUGUCGUCCACGCCGCGGUAGAAAAGCGGAUGGGCAUAUGCGUCAGGGAUGUUCAGGAUCUGGCCCGUGGUCGCCACGUGUCCCGCGAUGCCCUGAUCGGCCGGGAUGCGGAUCUCAUAGCUCUGCCGGGGCAGAGAUGGAGUCGAGAGGAAGAAGUUAGUGACCCGGCCACAGAGGGGACUGUUAAACGUCGGGCCGCUCCCCAGCGCCGCCGGCGGACUCCCGGACACCCCUAGGGCCACAUGCUCCCUCCACACCCUCUCACCUCAUCAUCCACCACGCCCCCGUCGAACACCUUGGCCACCAGCUCAUUCUGAUCCAGCAGGAACACAGAGCAGCUGUGGAGGGAGGGGUUUGGUCCUCUGGGGCCUGACAACCCCCUCUGAUCGCCCUCACUUCUCAUAAAGAGGCAAAGGCCGGAUUUCCGAGGCCUGGGAGGAGUGCUCCAAGGCCCACCCAACUGUCAACACAGUUCCAUGCUGGUAGGUUCUGCAGCUCAGACCUAGGACUCCUGGAUCUCCACCCUACCCCAGCAGACCUCAGGCCCGGGCUCUGACACCUACCUAGUCCCAGGCUCUCUAGUGUCCACCUCCUGCAGGAGCUCCAGGCCCUGAAACCCAGCCUGUUUG
Molecule: non-coding RNA, 664 nt
Filed under: Pan troglodytes (chimpanzee)
Lineage: Eukaryota; Metazoa; Chordata; Mammalia; Primates; Hominidae
Source: RNAcentral